RNAcentral lists this ribosomal RNA (839 nucleotides) under Hortiboletus rupicapreus. RNAcentral's name for it is "Hortiboletus sp. OVM-2021a partial large subunit ribosomal RNA". It matches the Rfam family "Eukaryotic large subunit ribosomal RNA", at positions 76 to 904 of the family's 3401-position model. The record is from RNAcentral. Lineage: Eukaryota; Fungi; Basidiomycota; Agaricomycetes; Boletales; Boletaceae.
UCCCCUAGUAACUGCGAGUGAAGCGGGACGAGCUCAAAUUUCGAAUCUGGCGGUCCUCGUGGCCGUCCGAGUUGUAAUCUAGAGAAGCGUCUUCCGCGCCGGCCCGUGUACAAGUCUCCUGGAAGGGAGCGUCAUAGAGGGUGAGAAUCCCGUCUCUGACACGGACCACCGGUGCUAUGUGAUGCGCUCUCGACGAGUCGAGUUGUUUGGGAAUGCAGCUCAAAACGGGUGGUAAACUCCAUCUAAAGCUAAAUACGGGCGAGAGACCGAUAGCGAACAAGUACCGUGAGGGAAAGAUGAAAAGAACUUUGGAAAGAGAGUUAAACAGUACGUGAAAUUGCUGAAAGGGAAACGCUCGACGUCAGUCGCGUCGGUCGGGGAUCAACCUUGCGCUUCGGCGCUGGGCGUACUUCCCGGUCCGACGGGUCAGCAUCAGUUUCGGUCGUCGUACAAUGGCGGAGGGAACGUGGCACUCUUUCCGAGUGUGUUAUAGCCUUUCGUCGGAUGCGUCGGCCGGGACUGAGGAACUCGGCGGUCGACCUUCGGGUCGGUGCUCAGGAUGCUGGCAUAAUGGCCUUGAGCGACCCGUCUUGAAACACGGACCAAGGAGUCUAACGUGCCUGCGAGUGUUCGGGUGGAAAACCCGUGCGCGAAACGAAAGUGAAAGUCGAGACCUCCGUCGUGGAGGGCACCGACGCCCGGACCCGAGUCUUCGACCAAGGAUCUGCGGUAGAGCAUGCACGUUGGGACCCGAAAGAUGGUGAACUAUGCCUGAAUAGGGUGAAGCCAGAGGAAACUCUGGUGGAGGCUCGUAGCGAUUCUGACGUGCAAAUCGAUCG